RNAcentral lists this ribosomal RNA (468 nucleotides) under uncultured bacterium. Its description in RNAcentral is "partial 16S ribosomal RNA". It matches the Rfam family "Bacterial small subunit ribosomal RNA", at positions 28 to 523 of the family's 1533-position model. The record is from RNAcentral.
GAUGAACGCUGGCGGCGUGCCUAACACAUGCAAGUCGAGCGAUUUACUUCGGUAAAGAGCGGCGGACGGGUGAGUAACGCGUGGGUAACCUGCCCUGUACACACGGAUAACAUACCGAAAGGUAUGCUAAUACGGGAUAAUAUGUUUUGAUCGCAUGAUCGAAAUAUCAAAGCUCCGGCGGUACAGGAUGGACCCGCGUCUGAUUAGCUAGUUGGUAAGGUAACGGCUUACCAAGGCGACGAUCAGUAGCCGACCUGAGAGGGUGAUCGGCCACAUUGGAACUGAGACACGGUCCAAACGCCUACGGGAGGCAGCAGUGGGGAAUAUUGCACAAUGGGCGAAAGCCUGAUGCAGCAACGCCGCGUGAGCGAUGAAGGCCUUCGGGUCGUAAAGCUCUGUCCUCAAGGAAGAUAAUGACGGUACUUGAGGAGGAAGCCCCGGCUAACUACGUGCCAGCCGCCGCCGUAA